Molecule: long non-coding RNA, 2425 nt
Organism: Ornithodoros turicata
Lineage: Eukaryota; Metazoa; Arthropoda; Arachnida; Ixodida; Argasidae
Exons: 2
Source: RefSeq, a predicted model, not a curated record
UUGACUGACUGUCUGAGUCUGUUUCCAUUGUUGCAUUGAAGACACUUUCCAACUGGCGCAGCCGACAGGAUCAGUAUGUGGGUGGAACUCGAAAUAACACAACAGGAGCCAGAGGGCCUGCAGUUCACACGGUGCCGACUACAAGACGAGGAAACGGUGGAUCUACCGACGCCCGCAGAGCCGUAGCGACGGUGGUGCAAGAGGGGCAGCCACCCCGGGCACCCUCGCCAGAGAAGGCUCCGAACGGCAGGCCCUGGCAGGUUAGUUGGACAGUAUAAAGCGGGAAUGAGGAGAAUUUUUUGAGGAGACACCUGUUCAAAAUUUGAUCACGCUGUGUUCAGAGUGCACGAUAUUCAAAACGUCGCCAAGUCAAUAACUAAGAAAUCAUAAAAAACUGGGUCUUGGUAUUUGAGUAGUGUUCACCACAAGACAUCCAUGAACUUUUCAAAGUGGCAGGGUUGCUUUUCUCUUUUCUUUCAGUAAGGUGUAGUACGUAGUUCUGUAUGCUCAAUAUUUUGCUAGACUAAGAAUAGAUCAACAUGAAUACAUAUCUAGGACAAGCCGUCAAAGCAGACACAGUAUCAUUCACGCAUUGUCCCCUUUGUAUGCUAGAACAAAUAGGCUAAAAUAAUCUGAGAUCCCUAGGACCAUAGAUUGUUUGAACAAACCACCAUCAAACAGAAGAAGAGCAGUCUCUGUACGAAAUACCGGCGGCUCUCGUCCUGAGGCAAUUCCCUUCACACCAUCAAACAGGUUUGAUUAUGAAGGUAUAUUCAAUUCAUAUCUUGUGUCGAAAUGAAGUGCCAUGGUGAUGUCUUUAGCUUGCUAACCUUGUACCAUGUUACCAUGCAUCGGCUAUUCCGUAUCUGUACUUGGCCUCCUGCUUUGGCCCUUGAGGACCUGCAUAAUCUUGUUUAAAAAAAGUAGGUGCCGUAAAGGCCGACGCUCAAUGCCAAGUUAAUUUCAUCAGUACCAGGUAAUAAUUGGACCAUUCGAAAGAUAACGGUCGCUUCUUGGAAAGAGCAAUGUCGACCGAAAAUACCAGUCUAAGCUAUAUUUAGCAGGCUGUAUAUCGUUUAGUUCUGUCAGAUGUGGAGAUUAUCAGUGCAACGGGUUUUCCUUUCAAAUUUGUUACCUUCAUUAACAGUGGCAAACCGCACAUCGGCUACACCGCAUAGACAGGGAAAAGUUCCCGUAACAGUAAGUAAAUUCAUUUGAACAGGAGAUGUAUUACGGCGGUUUACAAACCAAUAGUUCAUCCCACGCGUAAGAUAUACUAUCCCCACAUCCACCUUCCACACACACGCACACUUCCUCUGGCGUUCGGUAAUAGUAACACAGUAACGGUAAGAUAACGGUGUUCGAUCAGACGACGAUGGCAAUCAGCGUGCUCUCUGCGCGUUCUUUGCCGCUCGAGUAUAAACAAACUGUUUAAACUGCACUCAUCCUCGUUGCGCGCGCUCGGUCGUCGAAGUUACGCCGAAGUUGAUGUCGACGCUGGCGAAAAAAAAAAAAAAGAAAACACCUCGGAGAAUAAACGGCCCUUAAUUAGCAAUUCGCUUUUGUGCUUUGCAGACUUCUUACUCGUUGAGGGAAUUCAUGGCACACAUACCUGGUAUUGGCGUACAUCCAGAGAAAGCGGUUCCCUAUUUGUGUGAUAACUAUAGAACCACCAUUCUGCGCCCAUCUUCAGUGGCACGAAAUAUUAAUAGGAGUACUCGCCAUACUGGUAUUGUAAGAGUCCACUUAUUCCACUAUGUUUCUGACUACUUGUAGUGGCCAGGCCGGUGCUCCUGGUGAGGUGAUGUCAUCGGAACCAUCGACCUCGAGUAUUACAACUUGCGCAAGCGUUGCACAACCAAUUCCGCAAGGUUAUCAGUGUUGUGCCGACGACGACGAAAAUGUGGUAAGGUGUAGGAGUAUGUUUAUACAAAGAAGAAAGAGGGGUAGGUUAGUCAGUUACAGGCCGACUUUCUGUUCAUUAAAUAAAAGUACUGAAAAAGAAAAAGUGCCUUAGAGGCUGAUCGAGACGGUCGGUCUACGGCGACAAACACAAACAGCGAUAACCUCCACUCGCUCCACGAAGUGUCAUCGUCCUUUAAUAAUUACUGGCGACGCACAAGACAACGUUGCUACAUCGCCGAGGGAUGUAGCGUUACGAUUGGGACUGUUUCCUGGCAAUGCCACCCAGACACAGCCAGCGUAACCUGAUCGGCUCAUGGUGAAAUCGUACGACUUAAGUGCCCCGGGAGUGAUGAACAGGAUGAGGCCGGAGUUGACGGGAGAAUUGCUCGAACGUGCUCAAACGGCAGGGCAUAAACUAUGAAUUGCAUAUUUGUGUUUUCUUGUUCUUCUGUAUAUAAACGAUAUAGGACCUCGCGCCUUUUGUUCGUCUACGCUAUGUAGAAUAAACGUUCUUCUACAA